GCGAUGGUGGUGUAAUGGUUAGCAUGGUUGCCUUCCAUUCAGUCAAUCUGGGUUCGAUUCCCGGCCAUCGCA
This 72-nucleotide transfer RNA is filed under the name Blattella germanica (German cockroach). RNAcentral describes it as "tRNA-Gly (TCC) (tRNA-Gly-TCC-14-1)". It matches the Rfam family "tRNA". Rfam says of the family: Transfer RNA (tRNA) molecules are approximately 80 nucleotides in length. Their secondary structure includes four short double-helical elements and three loops (D, anti-codon, and T loops). The record is from RNAcentral. Lineage: Eukaryota; Metazoa; Arthropoda; Insecta; Blattodea; Blattellidae.